RNAcentral lists this ribosomal RNA (176 nucleotides) under uncultured bacterium. RNAcentral's name for it is "partial 16S ribosomal RNA". It matches the Rfam family "Bacterial small subunit ribosomal RNA", at positions 1317 to 1500 of the family's 1533-position model. The record is from RNAcentral.
UCCAUGAAGUUGGAUUCGCUAGUAAUCGCGCAUCAGCCACGGCGCGGUGAAUACGUUCCCGGGCCUUGUACACACCGCCCGUCAAGCCAUGGAAGCCGGGAGUGCCUGAAGUACGCGACCGCAAGGAGCGUCCUAAGGUAAAACCGGUGACUGGGGCUAAGUCGUAACAAGGUACC